UACGUAGGGUGCGAGCGUUAAUCGGAAUUACUGGGCGUAAAGCGUGCGCAGGCGGUUCGUUAAGUCAGAUGUGAAAGCCCCGGGCUCAACCUGGGAAUAGCGUUUGAUACUCUAUGGCUUGAGUUCGGGAGAGGUGAGUGGAAUUCCCAGUGUAGAGGUGAAAUUCGUAGAUAUUGGGAAGAACACCGGUGGCGAAGGCGGCUCACUGGACCGAUACUGACGCUGAGGCGCGAAAGCGUGGGGAGCAAACAGG
RNAcentral lists this ribosomal RNA (253 nucleotides) under uncultured bacterium. RNAcentral's name for it is "partial 16S ribosomal RNA". It matches the Rfam family "Bacterial small subunit ribosomal RNA", at positions 524 to 776 of the family's 1533-position model. The record is from RNAcentral.